ACAGACACAUUUGUGCAGCACUUUAUUAGGAAUCCUGGUGAGCCAUGGGAUUGGAGCUGCCUUAGACUUGGGAAGAAGUCCCUGUUUUAGAAGCUUUCAGCACAGUACUGAAGUUCCCCUCAGAUCCAGGCUGGCAGUAGCAGCUUCCCAUCCAUCCUGGGAAAGUGGGCAGGGAGCUCCCUGAAGACCCUCUGGGCUGGGCACAGCUUUUUCCUGUGCAGAGAGGCUCCAGCAGCAGUGGGCAGUGAGUGCUGGGCUUAAUCCAUGGCAGCAGAUAAAUCCACAAUCCCUGCUGGGCUCUUUCCAGCACUGAAUUCCAGCUAAGGGAGAGGAGAGGAGCCCCUUCCAGGCCAGCAGCUGCUCUGUGCCAGUGCCUGUGACCUGGGCUGGAUCCUGAUUGCCCAGCUCUGGAGUCCCUGAAGUGCUGGAUGUGGAAAAGAGCCCAGAGCAGGGAUCAACCCCUGGUGUCACCCGGUGGUUUUGGGCAGGGCACAGCCAUUGGCAGUGGGUGUGUUUGGGGAGAGGAGCCCUGGGAAAGGCAGCCCAGAGGAUGAGGCCUGGGGAGAGCUGUGAGCUGAGAAGUGGCUCUAAUCAAGUUUAAGUGGUCCUAAACUCCUGCAAUGGUCUGGGUUGGGAAGGAAGCUUAUGGAUCAUCCUGUUCCCACCCCCGCCAUGGUCAGGGACACCCUCUGGGCUGUCCAUGGGAUUUGCUCAGUGCCAGGCUGGUGACAGGGGUGGGGCUUUGUCCCUGAGCCCAGUCCCAGGCAAGGUUGGGGUCUCCAUGGGCAGAAUCCUGGGAGCUGCAUUUCCAGGGCUGGGAGCUCCGUGCCUGGAAAUGUUUCCAGUCCUGCUGUUUGGUUUUUUCCCAAACUGGGCAUUACAUUCCUUCCCUGAGCGAGGUGGUUUUCCCUGGGUUGUUGGGAUUGCACAUUGGGUGUUUGAGAGCUCUGUUGUCUCUUUCUCCUGAGGGGAAGGGUGAGGAAAUGGGGAUGCUCCCGACUGUCCCAGAGAUGUGGGAACAGCCCAGUUCCAGUGAGGAAUGUGGUGCCCAGCUCGUGGGGUGCACCCUGAGAUGAUCUUUCCUGUUGUUUAUUGUUGGAGUCUAGAACAUCCCUCUGGCCACCCUGGAGGGUUUGGAGACCGGACAGGGGAGUCUGGGAUCUGUACAGGGGGGUCAGUUAGACCCACACAGGUCCCAGGAGGACACUGCCUCUGAUCCCUGUCCAUGGGAGUGAACACUCACAUGCAGGAAGAAUCACAAAUCCUAAGAAUUUGAAAUAAGUAGUGGAUGGUUUAUUAUAGAAUAUAAAUAUAGAAAUUAGGAUUCUUAGCAUAUGGGGCUGAAGAGACAAGAUGGAGGAAUUGGGGAGUGGCCCCUGUCUUCCUUGUUCUUGUUCUCGUCCCCCAUCUUGUGCUGAGUUGGGUUUUAGAGAUUGGUUUAGAGUAGAACUGACAUGUUAGUAUAGGUAAUAGGUAUUGGUAAAAUUUUGUAAAUAAAAAAUACGUCUCGGACAGUGGUUGGGUCAGGGGUACUGUACAUAAGGUACGGGGCUCUCUGAUCCGCCCAGUCUGCCGCGUGUCCUGCUCUGUGGAGACACCUUGCAGAGCUGAGAAAGAACUAAGAUAAGGGACCCUGCCAGGGAAGUGCCUGGCAGAGUUGAAAAAGGACUGAGAUAAUGAAGAAUAAACAACCUUGGAAACGUGCACUGGCGGACUCAGCUUGUUGUCUCUGGCUCCAGUGUGAAACACUUAGGGCAAAGAGAAGACUGAAAACCUUAUUACCCCUGGGAACAGCAACCCAGUGGGAACUCCCAGGGAACAGCAACCUUGGGGGAACCCUUAGUACCAUGGGGAACACCAACCCCAAGGAGAAUCUCAGGAAAACUACAACCCUGAGAGUUUAUUCCUUAGAGCCUGUUGGAGUGCUGGCCUGGAUCUGGGAGGAGCCAAGUAUGCUGGAGCUGUGAGGUUUUUCCUGUCAGCAAUCCCUGAUGGGGAUGUUUUCCCUGGCUGUUCCAAGGGGAAGGAGCAGCUCUGGAGUUGUUGCAGCCACAGGAUGCAGUGGGUGCACGCCCUGAGAACCAGUUCAGGAUUGUUCUUCUGAGUCUGCCGCUGACCUGUGACUUCCAGGGCCCCUCCUGAUGUCCUGGAUAUUCCCAGGAGAGGAUAUUCCAAGGCUUGCCUUUUGAGCCAGCAAUUCCAGAGGCAAGGAAACCUAGUGGAAGGAUCAAGAUGCAGAGGAACAAGUGUUGUAAACCCCCCUGGAUUUCUGACAGAGCCAAUCUUCCAAUAAUCCCAGCAGAGGUCUCUGAGAAAGUGUGGCAUCCUAAGGAUUUCCAGGAGAGAAGAAGAGAUGAGGGAAUGGGCUUCCAGGGGGAGGAGGCAGCCGUGCCCAGGAGGAAGAGGAGGAGGAGUGGGAGGAUGGAGACAGCGGCCACCAAAGGCUGGGGAGGCACAGCUCCAGCCCUUUGCUUUCCCCAGCUGGUGCUUUAGGAAAGGCCCUCCAGCCUGGGAAGGAGCUUUUGGCUCCAGACACAUUCUCAGUCCCCAGGAGCAGCAGGACCUGGGCUGUCCCCAGCAGG
This is a long non-coding RNA of Prinia subflava (tawny-flanked prinia), 2582 nucleotides long. RefSeq lists it as uncharacterized. The transcript is spliced from 4 exons. The record is from RefSeq and is a predicted model, not a curated record. Lineage: Eukaryota; Metazoa; Chordata; Aves; Passeriformes; Cisticolidae.